Molecule: long non-coding RNA, 396 nt
Organism: Daucus carota subsp. sativus
Lineage: Eukaryota; Viridiplantae; Streptophyta; Magnoliopsida; Apiales; Apiaceae
Exons: 3
Source: RefSeq, a predicted model, not a curated record
UAUAAACAAUUAAACAUAACUAAAAAAAAUGGAGAAGAAAGUGAUGAUAGCUGCUCUAUUCCUGGCCAUGUUUGUGCUCUCCUCCGAUAUAAAGCUCGUCCAGUCUGACUCUGACGAUUGCAUUGAUGCUUGCUACACUAGCUGUGUUUUUCCCGGCGAUGAUACAGGUGAAGCUCGGGUAGAGUGUGAGAAACAAUGCGAUGAAAGAUGCGCUAAAGAAGCGAACAGGUGGGAAAGCUGAUGAGAAUCAAGACUGAUGACUUGUGUGUGAGCAGAUAUAUUUAAGGCCAUUAGAAUAAAGAAAAUCAAUAAAUUGGUCUGGGUGUUAUUGAUAAUUAUCAGGGGAAACUCUGCUGUAUUGUUAAAGCUUAUAAAAUUGAGUAUUGUUUACUCUAA